This 465-nucleotide ribosomal RNA is filed under the name uncultured bacterium. Its description in RNAcentral is "partial 16S ribosomal RNA". It matches the Rfam family "Bacterial small subunit ribosomal RNA", at positions 28 to 507 of the family's 1533-position model. The record is from RNAcentral.
GACGAACGCUGGCGGCGUGCUUAACACAUGCAAGUCGAACGGAAAGGCCCCCUUGUGGGGUACUCGAGUGGCGAACGGGUGAGUAACACGUGAGUAACCUACCCUUGACUUUGGGGUAACUUCAGGAAACUGGGGCUAAUACCGGAUAGGAGCUCCUGCUGCAUGGUGGGGGUUGGAAAGUUUCGGCGGUUGGGGAUGGACUCGCGGCUUAUCAGCUUGUUGGUGGGGUAGUGGCUCACCAAGGCUUUGACGGGUAGCCGGCCUGAGAGGGUGACCGGCCACAUUGGGACUGAGAUACGGCCCAGACUCCUACGGGAGGCAGCAGUGGGGAAUAUUGCACAAUGGGCGGAAGCCUGAUGCAGCAACGCCGCGUGCGGGAUGACGGCCUUCGGGUUGUAAACCGCUUUCGCCUGUGACGAAGCGUGAGUGACGGUAAUGGGUAAAGAAGCACCGGCUAACUACGUG